RNAcentral lists this non-coding RNA (45 nucleotides) under Echinostoma caproni. Lineage: Eukaryota; Metazoa; Platyhelminthes; Trematoda; Plagiorchiida; Echinostomatidae. The record is from RNAcentral.
GCACUGCUGACGAGUCCCAAACAGGACGAAAUACCUGUCCGGUGC